Molecule: long non-coding RNA, 372 nt
Organism: Haliotis rufescens (red abalone)
Lineage: Eukaryota; Metazoa; Mollusca; Gastropoda; Lepetellida; Haliotidae
Exons: 3
Source: RefSeq, a predicted model, not a curated record
AUAACGUUGUGUUGUUUGGCGUUGUCUGCCGUAGGACUUUGUUGACGGGCUAUACGAGCGCCUGGUAAACAUCUCGGAGGUGGAGCUUCCCCGUCAGGAUAAAAUCAGCUUCAAAGUACUCCGCUACACACAAGAAGCCUUUCGAGACGGGUAUCAGUGGCGAUUUUACGUCAACUUGAACCCCGUAAACUUCCUUGAGGGAGUUCAGAAGGAUGUGACCCGGAUGACAAGCACCCCAAUGAACACAAGGGAAGAUGUGGAGAACUACCUUCACAGAUUGACCUUGCUGCCACAACAGAUAUCUGAGAUAAAAGAGAGUUUCCAGCAAGCCGUGCAAAAUGGAACAAAGUACCACAAUGCAUCCAUGGUACG